RNAcentral lists this small RNA (54 nucleotides) under Caenorhabditis elegans. Its description in RNAcentral is "Unclassified non-coding RNA Y39A3CR.10". Lineage: Eukaryota; Metazoa; Nematoda; Chromadorea; Rhabditida; Rhabditidae. The record is from RNAcentral.
UAAAAAUUAAAAAUUCGGAAAAAAAAAAAUUUUUUUUCGAAAAUUUGGAAAUUU